This 401-nucleotide ribosomal RNA is filed under the name uncultured bacterium. RNAcentral describes it as "bacterial SSU rRNA". It matches the Rfam family "Bacterial small subunit ribosomal RNA", at positions 975 to 1375 of the family's 1533-position model. The record is from RNAcentral.
CAUCCCUUGACAUCCAGUGAACUUUCUAGAGAUAGAUUGGUGCCUUCGGGAACACUGAGACAGGUGCUGCAUGGCUGUCGUCAGCUCGUGUUGUGAGAUGUUGGGUUAAGUCCCGCAACGAGCGCAACCCUUAUCCUCAGUUGCCAGCACGUAAUGGUGGGAACUCUGUGGAGACUGCCGGUGAUAAACCGGAGGAAGGUGGGGACGACGUCAAGUCAUCAUGGCCCUUACGGGAUGGGCUACACACGUGCUACAAUGGCGCGUACAAUGGGAAGCAAGCUAGCGAUAGCAAGCGGAUCUCAAAAAGCGCGUCGUAGUCCGGAUUGGAGUCUGCAACUCGACUCCAUGAAGUCGGAAUCGCUAGUAAUCGUGGAUCAGAAUGCCACGGUGAAUACGUUCCC